RNAcentral lists this ribosomal RNA (880 nucleotides) under uncultured bacterium. RNAcentral's name for it is "bacterial SSU rRNA". It matches the Rfam family "Bacterial small subunit ribosomal RNA", at positions 46 to 920 of the family's 1533-position model. The record is from RNAcentral.
GCUUUACACAUGCAAGUCGAACGGCAGCACGGGUGCUUGCAUCNGGUGGCGAGUGGCGGACUGGUGAGUAAUACAUCGGAACGUGUCCYGAAGUGGUGGAUAACGCAUCGAAAGAUGUGCUAAUACCGCAUAUACUCUGAGGAGUAAAGUAGCGGAUCGAAAGACCUUAUGCUUAUGGAGCGGCCGAUGUCUGAUUAGCUAGUUGGUGGGGUAAUGGCCUACCAAGGCGACGAUCAGUAGUUGGUCUGAGAGGACGACCAGCCACACUGGGACUGAGACACGGCCCAGACUCCUACGGCAGGCAGCAGUGGGGAAUUUUGGACAAUGGGCGCAAGCCUGAUCCAGCAAUGCCGCGUGAGUUAAGAAGGCCUUCGGGUUGUAUAGCUCUUUCAGUUGAGAAGAAUAGACUGUAACUAAUAAUUACAGUUCAUGACGGUAUCAACAGAGGAAGCACCGGCUAACUACGUGCCAGCAGCCGCGGUAAUACGUAGGGUGCGAGCGUUAAUCGGAAUUACUGGGCGUAAAGGGUGCGCAGGCGGUUCUGUAAGUCAGAUGUGAUAUCUCCGGGCUUAACCUGGGAACUGCGUUUGAAACUACAGAGCUAGAGUGUGGCAGAGGGGGGUGGAAUUCCAUGUGUAGCAGUGAAAUGCGUAGAGAUAUGGAGGAACAUCGAUGGCGAAGGCAGCUCCCUGGGUUAACACUGACGCUCAUGCACGAAAGCGUGGCGAGCAAACAGGAUUAGAUACCCUGGUAGUCCACGCCCUAAACUAUGUCAACUAGUUGUCGGGCCUUAUUAGGUUUGGUAACGUAGCUAACGCGUGAAGUUGACCGCCUGGCGAGUACGGUCGCAAGAUUAUAACUCAAAGGAAUUGACGAGGAC